RNAcentral lists this ribosomal RNA (251 nucleotides) under uncultured prokaryote. RNAcentral's name for it is "partial 16S rRNA". It matches the Rfam family "Bacterial small subunit ribosomal RNA", at positions 525 to 775 of the family's 1533-position model. The record is from RNAcentral.
ACGGAGGGUGCGAGCGUUAAUCGGAAUCACUGGGCGUAAAGCGCACGUAGGCGGUGACGUAAGUCGGAUGUGAAAGCCCUCGGCUCAACCGGGGGACUGCAUUCGAUACUGCUUGGCUUGAGUGCCGGAGAGGGUGGCGGAAUUCCAGGUGUAGGGGUGAAAUGCGGAGAUAUCAGGAGGAACACCGGUGGCGAAGGCGGCCACCUGGCAGGCAACUGACGCUGAGGUGCGAAAGCGUGGGGAGCAAACAG